This 520-nucleotide unclassified non-coding RNA is filed under the name uncultured Glomus. RNAcentral's name for it is "SSU rRNA". It matches the Rfam family "Eukaryotic small subunit ribosomal RNA", at positions 569 to 1093 of the family's 1831-position model. The record is from RNAcentral. Lineage: Eukaryota; Fungi; Glomeromycota; Glomeromycetes; Glomerales; Glomeraceae.
AGCAGCCGCGGUAAUUCCAGCUCCAAUAGCGUAUAUUAAAGUUGUUGCAGUUAAAAAGCUCGUAGUUGAAUUUCGGGACUAAUAUGUCGGUCGUGCCUCGGUACGUACUGGCUUAUUGGUUUCUCCUUUCUGAAGAACCAUGAUGUCAUUUAUUUGGUGUCGUGGGGAAUCAGGACUGUUACUUUGAAAAAAUUAGAGUGUUUAAAGCAGGCUUACGCUUGAAUACAUUAGCAUGGAAUAAUGAAAUAGGACGUUUGAUUCUAUUUUGUUGGUUUCUAGGAUUGACGUAAUGAUUAAUAGGGAUAGUUGGGGGCAUUAGUAUUCAAUUGUCAGAGGUGAAAUUCUUGGAUUUAUUGAAGACUAACUACUGCGAAAGCAUUUGCCAAGGAUGUUUUCAUUAAUCAAGAACGAAAGUUAGGGGAUCGAAGACGAUCAGAUACCGUCGUAGUCUUAACCAUAAACUAUGCCGACUAGGGAUCGGAUGAUGUUAAUUUUUAAUGACUCAUUCGGCGCCUUACGG